UACGUAGGAGGCAAGCGUUGUCCGGAAUUACUGGGCGUAAAGCGCGUGUAGGUGGUGGGACAAGUCUGCUGUGAAAGCGCCUGGCUUAACCGGGCGAGGUCGGCGGAAACUGUCCGACUCGAGGACGGUAGAGGGGGGGUGGAAUUCCCGGUGUAGUGGUGAAAUGCGUAGAGAUCGGGAGGAACACCUGUGGCGAAGGCGGCCCCCUGGGCCGGCCCUGACACUGAGACGCGAAGGCGUGGGGAGCGAACGGG
Molecule: ribosomal RNA, 254 nt
Filed under: uncultured bacterium
Lineage: Bacteria
Description: partial 16S ribosomal RNA
Rfam family: Bacterial small subunit ribosomal RNA
Source: RNAcentral